Rosa rugosa (rugosa rose) is the source of this 2453-nucleotide long non-coding RNA. RefSeq lists it as uncharacterized. The record is from RefSeq and is a predicted model, not a curated record. The transcript has 3 exons. NCBI's taxonomy places the organism in Eukaryota, Viridiplantae, Streptophyta, Magnoliopsida, Rosales, Rosaceae.
CUAGAGAGGCCCUUAGCUACAGCUACACUGUCAGGUGUGGUUAGCUAGCUGAAGUUAAAUAAAAGCUCUAUAUGUAUGUAUGAUUCAGAUGGGAUUAAUCUUGGAGUGAAAUGCUUAAUUAAUUUCCUGAAUAUUUGCGUUUCAGUUGUUCUAGCUGCUGCUGCUGGUUUUUGAUUUUUUGUUUUGUUGUAAUGCUAUUGGAUGUGCUGGAAGGGAGCAAUGCUUGGAUUUGGAAUGUAGGCCCCAAAACAAUUUUGACUCUAAAAGAAACUAAAAACCUAAAAAGACUAACAAUUUUUUUUUUAAUCUUUUUUUUUUUAAACAAACAAUUUAAACUCGAAUUAAAAUUUAUAAAUCUCUUCCCCCACACUUAAUUUCUACUUUGUCCUCAAUAUACGUAAAUCAAUUUAAAAGCAUCCAAGGUAAAAAUAAAAGCAUAGGCUUAAAUUAAACAUUGAUGGAUCAUUCCGCAAUGAGUCGGACUGUGGUGGAUUUUGGAGUGGUGUUUCGAAAAGAGUUUGGAAGCUUUAAAGGGGUGUGGUCUAAUCUUCUGCCUCAUCUAUACUCAAGGCUGAGCCUCCCAACUUGACUGGAUUCCAAACUUUUUAUUUUUUAUUUUUUUAAAAGCAUGGGCAAAGAGAUUUCAAAAGAAAUAAAAACCUAAAACAAAUAUAUGGAGCAUUAAUUUCAUAAAUUAAAAGGAGUAAGGGAUUAAGAAAUUAAUUUUGCGUUGACGAUCUUCUCCACAGCUACUGUUGAAUUGGGUUGCCUCCCCAACAGUGCUUGAAUUUAAUGUCCUUCAGCCAAACAAAGUUUUUUUUUUUUUUUUUUUUUUCAAAAUCCAUGGGAGAUGGCACACUAUGGAGGUAAUCCACCUCCACGUUGCUCUCCUUAAAUGCCUCAUAAUAUGGCCUCAAGCAAUGGUCAUUCACUUUGAACUCGUGGCCGGACUUCUCACUUUGAAUUUGUAUAGCACCAUGAGGAAAAACAUGAGUAAUAGUGAAAGGACCAACCCAACAAGAAUGAAGCUUACCAGGGAAGAGUUUAAGACGAGAAUAAAAUAAUAAAACUUUUUGGCAUUCUUCCAUAACUCCUAUCUUAUGCUAUGAGCUGUUUUUUGCUUUCUAAGGAGUUAUGUAAUGAUUUGCACCAAAUGUGCGCCAGGUUUUGGUGGGGGAGCAAACCUAAUGAAAGAAAAAUUCAUUGGAUUUCAUGGGAGCGCCUGAGUCGCUCUAAAGAGGAGGGAGCUCGAUAUUUUCCGCAUUCUUCUUGUUGGCAUGCUCGGACACCGACACAUGCUUCUGUAUGUUGGAGAGGGAUCUAUGCUGCUAGAUCCGUGCUAAAUGGGGGAUUAAGAUGGCAAGUCAUGGAUGGUACUUAAUUCCAUUAAAAUUUGGGAGGAUCCGUGGAUUCCCAGGUCUUCUUUGUCCGGUGAGCUCUUACGGACAACUUUUCUUCUAGUGCAUCUCCAAGUCCUUGGAAGGUGUUGUGGGCUGCUCACAUUUCUUGUAAGGUGAAGGUACACAUUUGGAAAGCUUGUGCUUCUAUUCUUCCAACUGCCUCUCAACUUAGAGGGCGCAGGGUUCCAGUUGGUGAGUGUAGUCUAUUUUGUAAAGCUGAGGGGAAAGUAUUCUCCAUGUUAGUAGGGAGUGUAGUUUCAUUCGUGAUGUUAUUGGACUACCACCGGAUUUGCUUCCUAUUCUGGACACUACUAUGAGUUCUAUGCUUGAUUGGCUUGUACUUUGCAAUAAUUUGGUUUCUCCAAGUUCUUUCUCUCUAUUGCUAAUGCUGUUGUGGGGGUAUGGAAAGAACGCAAUCAACAUCUAUGGGCUAGAAAUUAAGGCACAUAAUGUGCAGCAGGUAUACUUUCAAUCUGCUCUCUUCUUCAUGCUUUUGAAGCUGCAAGGCAUAUAUCAAAGCCCAAGCUUGGGCGUCAGGUGAAGCCGUGGUGCCCCCAUUCUACAGGUUGGUUAAAGGUAAACAUUAAUAGUGUCUUUGAUCCAACUUCACAUCAGGGUGGUCUGGGGGUUGUGGUGAGGGAUCUUACUAGUACGUUGGUAGCAACCGCAUGCAGAAGGUGUACUGAUGUUCUAGCUACUAUUGUGGUGGAUGCCCUUGCUAGUAGAUUGGCGUGUAAGCUUGUAGAUAACAGUUUGACUCCGGUGAUAUUUGAGUCUAAUUGUCUUCAACUAGUUCAGGCUAUCCAAGCUAAAGGUGAUGAUACUUAUUCGGAAUUUGGUAGAAUUGUUUAUGAUAUCUCCAUGGCAAUUUCUUCUAUGUCAGGUUCUUUCUUUUCCCAUGUCUAUAGGGAUUCCAAUAAGCUAGCUCAUAGUUUAGUUAAGCAUGCUCUUGUGUCAGGGUUGCAAGUCUCAUGGAGUGGGCAUGUCCCUCCAAUACUUGAUGAUUUCUUUUGUAAUACGUAGUAUUCAUCAAUGAAAUUUGACGUCCUUUGA